AAUAUGAAUAACUUUCCACUUAUGAUGCCAAUGAGGGAGCGUUUGGUCAUUGACUGCAGGUAAGGGCUACACAAUAUCUAUUUCAUAAACAAAUAACAUAGCUGUUUUCUGUUUUUCAUGAGAAUGCGCAUGUCACAUUCAUGCUCACUGGCCAAUGCUGGGAUAGAUUGGCGGUACCAGGUGUCCUCGCGCUCUCUCGCUCUCUCUCUCAUUUCAUUUUCAAUUUAAGGGCUUUAUUGGCAUGGGAAACAUAUGUUAACCUUGCCAAAGCAAGUGAAGUAGAUAAUAAACAAAAGUGAAAUAAACAAUACAAAUUAACAUUACACUCACAAAAGUUCCAAAAGAAUAAAGACAUGUUAAAUGUCAUACUAUGUGCAAGUAGUACAAAAGGCACUACAGAAGGUAGUAAAAUACUAAAGGGAAAAUAAAUAAACAUAAAAAUGGGUUGUAUUUACAAUGGUUUUUGUUCUUCGCUGGAUGCCCUUUUCUUGUGGAAAUAGGUCACACGCCUUGCUGCUGUUAUGUCACACUGUGGUAUUUCACUCAAUAGAAAUUGGGGUUGUUUUCAAGUUCUUUGUGGAUCUGUGUAAUCAGAGGGAAAUGUGUGCCGCUAAUAUGGUCAUACAUUUGGCAGGCGGUCAGGAAGUGCAACUCAGUUUCCACCUAAUUUUGUGGACAGGGUGCACUCUCUCUUUCUCUCUCUCUCUGCAUAGAUGUCCGCCGGCGCAUGUGACUUACCAGAAAGUACAGAGAACGGGGAAUUCCCUCGCCGCAAUUACUAGAGAUUGUAUUGGAGCUGAUCGUACCGGCAGUCAGCAUCCUGUGUCUGAGUUCGGGACAGUUGACGCUGUAGCCUUUAAAAAACACUCUGCUCUGCGUUUGUGAGCAAACUUUCGUUCUGGCAAAGAAGACUGGAUUCUACACGGAGCACCUUUGUAAAAAGAACCGGAAUAUAACGAACGAACGAUUUUUAAAAUCAAAUUUCUAUUCUUAUUAAUGAUGACGACUAGCGGUGGUGCGAACUGAAUUGAGGCACUGUGGCCAGUGUGACUCAAUUACACAUUCUCUGGGGAAAUUGUUCCUCCUCAUUUUUGGGGGAGUGGGACACCAGACUUUCACGAAAACCACAAUAUGCAUGAUGUGUCCAAACCAGGGUCCACAUUCUGCCCAGUAAUACAGGCUCAAAAAUGACUUUUCAACCAAUAUAUCUAGAUGCAUAACUUCCUAUGGAUCGAACAACAGAACACCAUGCGCAGGCUUAAAGAAGAGUUCCAAUGCCUCUCCGAAUUCCACAAGGGAAUAUGAGGACUUCUCCACUCUGUCUUUCUGAGAUACUCGCAGCACAAGACAACAGGACCCAACAGGCUACCGGUACGAUGCCCGUCGAAGCCAUCUACAUGGUGAUGGAGGUGAUCAUCGCAGUGACUUCGGUGAUCGGAAACGUAAUGGUUAUCUGGGCGGUGCGGAUCAACCGUUCGAUGCGAGACACCACCUUCUGUUUCAUUGUGUCUCUGGCUCUGGCGGACAUUGCGGUGGGGGCUCUGGUCAUCCCGCUGGCCAUCACCAUCAACAUCGGUUUCGAGAUGCACUUCUACAGCUGCCUGCUGGUCACGUGCAUCGUGCUGGUGCUCACGCAGAGUUCCAUCCUCGCGUUGCUGGCCAUCGCUAUCGACCGUUACCUGAGGGUGAAAAUACCCAUGAGCUACAAACAUGUGGUGACACGGCGGCGUGCAGGCACGGCGGUGGUGGUGUGUUGGAUGGUUGCCAUAGUGGUUGGCCUGACGCCCAUGCUGGGCUGGAACAACCGGCAGUGUCUCCAUGACAACGUCUCCCAGGUGAUGUGUAAGUUUGAGAAAGUCAUCAGCAUGGACUACAUGGUCUACUUCAACUUCUUCGGCUGGGUGCUUCCGCCCCUCGUCCUCAUGCUGCUAAUCUAUGCUGAGAUAUUCUACAAGAUACACCACCAGCUCAACAAGAAGGUGACGGAGAGCCACGUAGACCGCAGCCAUUACUACAGUAAGGAGCUGAAACUAGCCAAGUCAUUGGCUCUGGUCCUCUUCCUGUUUGCCAUCAGCUGGCUUCCUCUAAACAUCCUCAACUGCAUCACGCUGUUUAGCCCAAACGGUGACAAGCCCACGCUUCUCAUCUACAUCGCCAUCCUGCUCACCCACGGCAACUCCGCUGUGAACCCCAUUGUCUACGCAUUUCAGAUCAAGAAGUUCCAGAAUGCGUUCCGGAAGAUCUGGAAGCAAUAUGUGCUGUGUAGGGACCCGGUAGGCAAGCUGCCCCAGAGAGGGAGUCAGAGGUGCCAGAGCAGAUUGGAGAGGAUGUUGAGGGCGAACGAUGAUAACAAUUAUGUCUGAUCUGGUGAUGAAGGUCAUAGGGGGGCACGGGUCUGUCUGAUCUGGUGAUGAAGGUCAUAGGGGGGCACGGGUCUGUCUGAUCUGGUGAUGAAGGUCAUAGGGGGGCACGGGUCUGUCUGAUCUGGUGAUGAAGGUCAUAGGGGGGCACGGGUCUGUCUGAUCUGGUGAUGAAGGUCAUAGGGGGGCACGGGUCUGUCGCAUCCCGCAAUGUGUAUGUUGUUUGGUGUGGUGUUCUUUUAUGCUUUUUAAAUUUGUACACUUUAUUUGUUAACCAUCUGUUAAUGAUGGCUUUUCAGUGGUGGGGUGUUGGACUGAUCGUGUUGAUCAUGAACAUACUCGGUACUAAAUUGACUUAUGGAAACGCUGCCGGCAGUGGAAUCCAAUACAGCAGAGAGUUUCUACUUCGUUACAACUCAAACACGAACGUAAUGGAUAUCCCAAGGGCCAAUCUAAUCCCUGAUUGUCUGCGAGUGGAUUACAAACCCACAUGUAAAUGUGGAAAACGCAGGGGAAUCAGACAGAGAAGUAUGACAGGAUAGUAGACAGUAUAAAUAAAUAAAAAACAUCCCUUACCUAACACCUUGCUGAUCAACGCCCAGUCACUGAGGGGGAAAGUGGAUGAGCUGUCAGCGAAUCUGCGCCUCCACAUAAAUACUGGGAGGCCUGUUUGCUGGCGUUUACUGAGACUUGGCUGGAUGGGUCCCAGACAGGGAAGUGGAGCCAGCUGGCGUCACACUGGCUAGAUCGUGAUCUGACCGUCACAGGGACUAGUGGUGUAAAUGGAUCCUGGUAAGAGAGAGACUCUGUACCCCCGAUAUUGAACUGCUUUCUGUGUCACCGCGACCCUACUAUCUGCCCCGUGAGUUCCCCCAAUUGUUUGUGACCGUUGUGUACAUUCAACCGAAAGAUAAUAUAGCAAAGGCAUCAGAGAUUAUUUAUAAUCUGUCACAGAAAUUGGGUUCCAUCUCCCCCGACGCACCCACAUUUAUUUUAAUGGAUUUUAACAACAGCACUUUGCACAAGGUCCUGCACACGUACCACCAGUAUGUGAAAUGUCACACUAGGAAAAACAAGACUCUUGACCUGUGCUAUGGAACCAUACCAAAUGCUUUCUCUGCCACCAACAGAUCUCCCCUGGGGACAUCUGACCACAAUGUUGUCUACCUCCGGCCAACCAAUCUUGGAGAGGGAGAAACCUACAGUUAAAACUGUCCAGAUCUGGAACGACAACAGUAUCACUCCUCUCCAAGGGUGUUUUGAUUGUACUGUGGGAGGUAUUUGAAGACAGCAGCUCUGAUCUUAACAAACUCACAGAUGUUGUUUCAGACUUUGUCAACUUCUGUGUUGAGUCAGUUGUGCCUAUAAAAACCAGUAAAAUAUUCCUAAACAAUAAGCCUUGGGUAUCAAAACAUCUAAAAUCACUACUUGAUAGGAAGAAGGCAGUUUAUGCUGAGGGUGGUAGACAGGCUUUAAGAGAUGUACAACGUGAGAUAAAAAGACAGAUACUGGUGGACAAGGAGGCAUACAAGCAAAGGGUGGAGAGGACCCUCUCCUCAGGAAACUCAAGGGUGGCCUGGCAAAAGAUGAAAUACAUGGCUCGUGCCACCCACAUAGGCAGGGGAAAAACCAAUGCGGACCAUGGGAGACAUGAGGGCCAGAACAAGGCUAAUGAACUGAAUGUUUUCUUCUCAAGAUUUGAAUCAGACGACUUAGGAAAAAAACAAACAAAUGGAAGUAUCAUUAAAAGUGUUUGAGAGGGUAGUUGUUAAACAGGCUGGUGUUUUGAAGUUGUUCGGUGGAUGUAACGCACAAAAAAGCCCAGGCCUGGACAAAAUAAGUGGACAUUGAAGCACUGUGAUGAACAAAUAGUUGGUGUUUUUACAGACAUUUUCCAAUCCUCGCUCGACCCGGCAACUGUGGUGGAAUAUUGACUCAGAAAUAUAACACAUUUUCUAGAACUUGUGAAUUCAAAUGAGACUUUAAUACAAGGUAGCAAAGCCGAGCCCUUCCACGUAAAGACUAUUUUACAAACGUAACAGAGCCGAUCCCCUCCAUGGAAAAUACUAAAUUCUCAUAUUACAGAGGCCUGCCUUUAUAGGAUUCUGUCUUUGCAUAACGUAUAAAGUCCCCUCCCUCUAUAUGAAAAUAGCUUCCCUUGACUUUUCUUUAUCAUCACUUUUCCAUCUCAGUUCUUGCUUGUUAACACCCACAUCUGACAGCUGUAUAGGUUAUAAUGGUAGCAGGGCCCUGGUCCUGUACUGGUCCUAUAUGUUCCAUUCCUUGUAUGGCCAUUCUGUCUUAGCUCUCCAACAUGAACAGCUUAGAUGCUGCUAAUAAUGGAAAUGUAAUCGAUAGUCGUGGGUUUUGCUCCAACACAACACGUGCCAGUAUUGUGGAAAACCUCAAUAAUUAUACCCAUUCCUAAAGCAUCUUAGCCCUCUCUGCUGCAUGACCCUGUCACCUUGGCAUCCUUAGGAAGGAAAUGCUUUGAGAAAAUUGUGAAAGGUCAUAUUCUCAGCACCACCCGUUUCAGUUUGCCAAUCAGCCCAGCAGAGGAGUUGAUGAUGCCAUUCUCACUCUCCUCAACAUGAUCUACAGACAUCAAGAGGGCGCCAAAUCCCUUGUCAGUGUUCUGUUUGUUGACUUUUCUUCUGCCUUCAACACAAUCCAGCCUUAUAUUCGGGCACAGAGACUCAUAAGUGACUUCUCCUGAGAUGGGGGGCUGGUUUUGUGGCUGUUGGGACUUCCUGAGCCAGAUGUCACAGCGGGUCAAGUUGGGUGUCGGACAUACGCACCACCAACACAAGCUCCCCACGGGGAUAUGUUUUGUCCCCACUCCUGUACAUUUUAUACACCAUCCUGACAGACACCUAGUUAAGUUCGCUGAUGACACUGCCUUGAUCAGCCUGUUGCAUGAUGACGAGGAACAUCAUGGCCCGGUCCUAGAUGACUUUGUAGAGUGGUGUGAUGAAUCACACCUGGUCCUCAACACCAACAAGACCAAAGAGAUGUGCAUAGACUUCAAGAAGCGUACAACACCUACCUCUGCAUCAUCUGUCAGAGGUCAGAACAUAGAGAUAGAGGAAUACAAAUACCUGGGUGUCCUCUUGGACAAUAAGCUUCAGUGGAGUAAAUGUACAGACCUGAUCUACUAAAAGAGUCAACAGAGACUGUACUUUCUAAAAAGCUGGGAUCUUUUAAUGUUGAGAGUAUUUCAACUUUUUGUAUUGUUUGUUGGUUUGGCAAUUGCCCGUGUCAGCCAGAGAAACAUCCUGAGAAGGAUUAUCACCACAGCAAGCAAGGUACUUAAGAGUCAAACAGACAGGCCCUCAGCAAGGCUCAUAAAAUUAUUUUUAGACCCAAGCCACCCCCUGUACCCGGACUUUGAACUACUCCCCUCUGGGUGCAAGUCUAGGGCACCCCCUUGCAUGAAAACUAAACUAGACAAUAAUUUGUGCCAGGUGUGAUAUCCCUCCUAAACAGUUCAGGCUGAUGUUCCUAUCGACCCAGUAAGGCCAGCAGGCUAGUCUUUAUUUAUUUGGAUGUAACUGUUAUGAAUAUUGUGCUGUCAAUUAGUGGUAUUGUCAUGUAUAUGUUUAAACACCAUGUUAAACAUGUACAUGAUACUGCAGCAACAUUUCCCCACGGGGACAAUAAAGUAAGUAAGUAAGUAAGUGAAGAUGUCGGGAAUACUGGAUUAUAAGAGCAGAAGGAUGAACAUGACAAUGGUUUCUCUGUUGAUUCGCCUGCUGGUUAGAGAAUUAUGAUUGGAUAAAGAGGUGGAGGUGGUGGGAGGGAUCCUAACCCUGCAGUGAUUGAACUGAAGGAGGGUAUGGAGAAGGGACCCUAUCCCUAACCCUUGACAGAAUCGAGGGGGACCCUAACCUCAGUUUGACCCCACACAGUGAGGAAGUUCUGUCAAGGAAUGUUCCUAAACGAGGGUUGAAAUGUUACCUCACACAGGCUGAAUUAACGAUCCACAGGUGGCUGGGUUCCCACACCGUAACCAUGGGUGAUCUAAUCUCUCUACAUUCUAGAAUGCAGCCGAAUGGCGUCACUCCUAAUACAUCACUAAGGUCCAUCGACUGACAAGACAGGUUGUACUGUCUGACCUGAUGCAAGACAACAGAACAGAACAGACCAAUGGAGAGGUCAGGUCAGAAUGGUGAUUUAGGAUUCCGAAUUAGAAGGAAGGCAGAAUUACUAACAAUGACUUCAACCAUCUCCCAUCGGCUUAGGGAAUGAUGAUGUGUAACGGGUGAAGGGGGUAUCCAGCAUGUACCAAUAGGAACCUGUUGAACUAUUAGUAGCACACUAUGGCUGUGUCUGAAAUGACACCCUUUAUAGUGCACAACUUUUUUGGGGGUGGACCAGAGCCCGCAAAUCACUUAAAACUUCAAAUGGUUCAAACACGCACAGUCAUGAAGAAGGCGCAACAGGAUGUUGAAAAAGUUUGGCAUGGGACCUCAAAUCCUCAAAAGGUUUGACAGUUGUCCCAUUGAGAGCAUUUUGACUAGCUGCCUCACUGCCUGGCAUGGCAAUAGCACCGCCCUCGAUCGCAUGGCGCUACAGAGGGUGGUGUCAUACAUUAUUCAAAAUGUUUGACAAAUCCAAUAAGGAUUGAUCUAAGGGAAAAUACUCUGACAUUGUGGUACAAACAAAUGCUCUCGAAACAACUCAGUCUCUGGAUCCGAUUUUGGAGAUGAGGGAGGUGAGGGAGAAGGAUAAAGUGAGUGAGAAGG
This is an RNA transcript of Oncorhynchus keta (chum salmon), 7105 nucleotides long. It is a transcript of the gene named adenosine receptor A1-like, with no coding region annotated. The transcript is spliced from 4 exons. Lineage: Eukaryota; Metazoa; Chordata; Actinopteri; Salmoniformes; Salmonidae. The record is from RefSeq and is a predicted model, not a curated record.